This 455-nucleotide ribosomal RNA is filed under the name uncultured bacterium. RNAcentral's name for it is "bacterial SSU rRNA". It matches the Rfam family "Bacterial small subunit ribosomal RNA", at positions 29 to 506 of the family's 1533-position model. The record is from RNAcentral.
AUAAACGCUGGCGGCGUGCUUUAUGCAUGCAAGUCGCACGGUCAAUCGCAAGAAAGACAGUGGCAAACGGGUGCGUAACACAUAAGUAACCUGCCCCUAAGUGGAGAAUAGCUCCGGGAAACUGGAGGUAAUGCUGCAUGUUGUGGCGAGGGUAAGGCUUCGUCAAUAAAGCCCGUAAGGGCGCUUGGGGAGGGGCUUAUGUCUGAUUAGCUAGUUGGUGAGGUAACGGCCCACCAAGGCUUUGAUCGGUAGCUGGUCUGAGAGGAUGGUCAGCCACAAUGGGACUGAGACACGGCCCAUACUCCUACGGGAGGCAGCAGCAAGGGAUUUUGUGCAAUGGGCGAAAGCCUGACACAGCGACGCCGCGUGAAGGAUGAAGACCUUCGGGUUGUAAACUUCUUUUCUCAGGGAAGAAUAAUGACGGUACCUGAGGAAUAAGCUUCGGCUAACUACGU